RNAcentral lists this ribosomal RNA (478 nucleotides) under uncultured bacterium. Its description in RNAcentral is "partial 16S ribosomal RNA". It matches the Rfam family "Bacterial small subunit ribosomal RNA", at positions 28 to 507 of the family's 1533-position model. The record is from RNAcentral.
GAUGAACGCUGGCGGCGUGCUUAACACAUGCAAGUCGAACGGGAAACCUUUUAUUGAAGCUUCGGCAGAUUUAGCUGGUUUCUAGUGGCGGACGGGUGAGUAACGCGUGGGUAACCUGCCCUAUACAGGGGGAUAACAACCAGAAAUGGUUGCUAAUACCGCAUAAGCGCACAGGGCCGCAUGGUCCGGUGUGAAAAACUCCGGUGGUAUAGGAUGGACCCGCGUUGGAUUAGCCAGUUGGCAGGGUAACGGCCUACCAAAGCGACGAUCCAUAGCCGGCCUGGGAGGGUGGACGGCCACAUUGGGGCUGAGACACGGCCCAGACUCCUACGGGAGGCAGCAGUGGGGAAUAUUGCAAAAUGGGGGAAACCCUGAUGCAGCGACGACGCGUGAAGGAAGAAGUAUCUCGGUAUGUAAACUUCUAUCAGCAGGGAAGAUAGUGACGGUACCUGACUAAGAAGCCCCGGCUAACUACGUG